This 896-nucleotide ribosomal RNA is filed under the name Nectria inventa. Its description in RNAcentral is "LSU rRNA". It matches the Rfam family "Eukaryotic large subunit ribosomal RNA", at positions 38 to 962 of the family's 3401-position model. Lineage: Eukaryota; Fungi; Ascomycota; Sordariomycetes; Hypocreales; Nectriaceae. The record is from RNAcentral.
GCAUAUCAAUAAGCGGAGGAAAAGAAACCAACAGGGAUUGCCUCAGUAACGGCGAGUGAAGCGGCAACAGCUCAAAUUUGAAAUCUGGCUCUUUCAGGGUCCGAAUUGUAAUUUGCAGAGGAUGCUUUGGGUGCGGGCGCCUUCCGAGUUCCCUGGAACGGGACGCCAUAGAGGGUGAGAGCCCCGUCUGGUAGGAUGCCCAGCCCGUGUAAAGCUCCCUCGACGAGUCGAGUAGUUUGGGAAUGCUGCUCUAAGGGGAGGUAUACUCCUUCCAAAGCUAAAUACCGGCUGGAGACCGAUAGCGCACAAGUAGAGUGAUCGAAAGAUGAAAAGCACUUUGAAAAGAGAGUCAAAUAGCACGUGAAAUUGUUGAAAGGGAAGCGCUCGCUACCAGACUUGGGUACGCGGUUCCGUAGGUGCUCCGCACCUGCGUACUCCUCGUGCCCAGGCCAGCAUCAGUUCUUCGUCGGGUUAAAAGGCUUCGGGAAUGUGGCUCGCCUCGGUGAGUGUUAUAGCCCGUUGUGUCAUGCCCGGUGGGGGACUGAGGUACGCGCUCCGCAAGGAUGCUGGCGUAAUGGUAGCUAGUGACCCGUCUUGAAACACGGACCAAGGAGUCAACCUUAUGUGCAAGUGCCCGGGCGUAAAACCCCAGCGCGGAAUGAAAGUGAACGUAGGUGAGAGCUUCGGCGCAUCACCGACCGAUCCUGAUGUCCUCGGACGGAUUUGAGUGUGAGCAUAUAGGGUUGGACCCGAAAGAAGAUGAACUAUGCGUGUGUAGGGUGAAGCCAGAGGAAACUCUGGUGGAGGCUCGCAGCGGUUCUGACGUGCAAAUCGAUCGUCAAACAUGCGCAUGGGGGCGAAAGACUAAUCGAAUCUUCUGGUAGCUGGUUUCCGCG